AACGCCAGCCUCUCCGGUCAGAUCGACUCCUCCAUGGUCUGCGCCGGCGGCAGCCGCUUCUCCGGAACAUGCUACGGUGACAGCGGCGGCUCCCUGAUGACCCGCAACUCAGAGGGUCGGUACCAGGUCAGCGGGGUCAGCAGCUGGGCGCGUGUCUGCACCAUGCUGGGACACCCCAGCGUGUUCGCCGACGUCACAGGAGUGACCAACUGGAUCCAGUACACGACCGCCGGCUCGCGUUACUGUGGAGCGUGACUGGCUCACGCGCCAGCGGCGGCUCACCUCGUGCCCCCAGCCCUCCAGCCCUUCAGCCCCGCCUGUCUGACGCCCGUGCACGACCGGCAAGGCGUUAGGCCUGAACAGAUGCUCGCCGAGCCUCACUGAGUUGUUACUAGUCUUCGUGUCGCUGUCGCCCAUGCAGAUGAGCUGAGUUUUUGUGGCUGGUCGUU
Long non-coding RNA from Pollicipes pollicipes, 449 nucleotides. RefSeq lists it as uncharacterized. Lineage: Eukaryota; Metazoa; Arthropoda; Thecostraca; Pollicipedomorpha; Pollicipedidae. The transcript is spliced from 3 exons. The record is from RefSeq and is a predicted model, not a curated record.